This 253-nucleotide ribosomal RNA is filed under the name uncultured bacterium. RNAcentral's name for it is "partial 16S ribosomal RNA". It matches the Rfam family "Bacterial small subunit ribosomal RNA", at positions 524 to 776 of the family's 1533-position model. The record is from RNAcentral.
UACGUAGGGGGCAAGCGUUGUCCGGAAUCAUUGGGCGUAAAGAGCGUGUAGGCGGCCAGAAAAGUCCGCUGUGAAAACUCGAGGCUCAACUUCGAGCUGUCGGUGGAAACUUUCUGGCUAGAGUCCGGAAGAGGAGAAUGGAAUUCCUGGUGUAGCGGUGAAAUGCGCAGAUAUCAGGAAGAACACCCGUGGCGAAGGCGGCUCUCUAGUACGGUACUGACGCUGAGACGCGAAAGCGUGGGGAGCGAACAGG